This is a non-coding RNA of Cavia porcellus (domestic guinea pig), 273 nucleotides long. The record is from Rfam. Lineage: Eukaryota; Metazoa; Chordata; Mammalia; Rodentia; Caviidae.
GGAUGUGAGGGCAACCUGGAUGCUGCAUUUGUCACCAUGUUGAUCACCAGGGUCAAUUCAUCUGAUCUGACUGACUAAGCAGUGUCCUUUUCCUCCCUCAUCAUUUUUUUGAGUCCUCGCCAAAGCUGGACACUCAGUAGAAGAGGAUGACCACCCUAGAUAGAGAAGGAUCCUUUCAUAAUUCAAGGGUAUAAGAGUAGUUAUGGUCAACCAGUAAAAUUAAUUGCAUAGGUAAACUUGAUGAAAUUGGGAACAAAUGGGGAAAUAAGUCAU